UUGUUUUUCAAAAAAAGAAGCAGAAUGUUUCUUCUUCCCUGCUCCCUCUCCAUUUUUUCUAGGAAUUCGACCUAGCUUGUGCCACCCUGGAGGAUCAUCGGUGCCACGCACCUCCAUCCCACCGCUGGUUCACGGAUCAAGACCAGGUAAGCCCUUAUUUCUUUCAUUUUACUUAAAAUCAGUCUAUAAACAAAAUAAAAAAAGAAGAAAAAAAAUACGAAUCAAAAGAAAGUUACAGGAAGAAGAAUGAAAAAUCACCUUUCAAACCUUAGACCAGAUUUUUGAUUUACUUCCGAUUUUUCUCUAUAAUUUCUGCUAGUGUACUUAUAUCAUGAGCCAAAAAAAAACCCCUUUUACAAUGUUUAGAAUGGCUUUUAUAGCCUAGAAAAAUAAAUAAAAUAUUCUAUUGGUUGCUAUUUGUUUGCUUCCUGUUACAGGUGUUGUUACAGAUAUCUCGGAAGCACGAGGCAUGACAAAGAGGGACUGCUGGUAGCGCACGUCUUGGAGGUGCGGUGGAUGUUGGAGGCACGUACGAUGUGGGGAUUGGGGUAUUGAGGUGAAUUUUGUUUUGGUUUUAGGCUGUUUUGGGUUAUAGGAUUGGGCUAGUGGUUAAUGUGUUUGAUUAGUGGGCUAGGCAAAGAAAAUUGGUCCAACAGCUGCCCCUCUUUGCUCAUUGUCGUGUAACGAGAAUAGAGUAAAGACUUAGAAGGGCCAAUUUUGCCUGGCCCCAUCAUGUCUUGACUUCUUGAUUGCCUCUUUUCUUCAAGUAGCCUCAUUUUAACCCACUGCAUCCUAUUACUUCCAGAUGUUUCAUUGAUGCUUUGUAGAUAUACAAUUUAUUGAGACUUGAUCCAUUCCAUUCCUGUUCAGUGGGGUGGGAUCUGCUGAAAUCUGAUCUGCUCCGCUCCUGUUCAGUGAAGAUAAGAUCUACUGUAAUUUGAUCUGCUUCACUCCUGCUCAGUAAAGAUGAGAUCUGGUAUGUUUAGCCUGUUUCACUCCUGCUCAGUGAAGAUAAGGCUGGUGGCUGAAAUCUGUUCCAUUGCCGAUACAUGGAGAUAAGACUCGCCAAAAUUUGAUCUGCUUCACUCCUGCUCAGUGAAGAUAAGAUCGGGUAUGUUUAGCCUACUCCACUCCUGCUCAGUGAAGAUAAGGUUGAUGAUUGGAAUCUGCUCCAUCGUCGGUACGUGGAGAUAAGAUUCUCCAAAAUUCGAUCUGCUUCACUCCUGCCCAGUGAAGAUAAGAUCUGGUAUUUAUCCUGCUCCACUCCUGCCCAGUGAAGAUAAGGCUAAUGAUAUCUGUAAUCCUGCUACAUUGUCCACUGGGAAUCCAUCUGUAGAAGAGUGAUAUGCUUAUGCUAGAUGAUUAGGAUGCCAUGAUUAAUAUGAAUCAAAUGCUUCUAACUACAUGUACUAUGGAUGUUAAAUGCACAAAAUGCAAAAUGUCAUGAGAAUGAUCCAUUUUUAAUUUUUGGGUUGUCAUCGCUCGUUGCUUACUAAGGUAACAUCCCUGACAUAUGCCUUCUUGUUCAACUCGGUAGAAGAGGACUUGGAGAUGCGGUUAAUUCCUUAUUUCUCACACGUUUUUAGCCCUUUUAAGCUCGGUGAGUUCUAAAUAAUUGUCCUGUUUUAGGUUCUCGUAUUGUUUAGAAACCUUUCAGAGUAAUAUGCAAAACCUUCUUUUGAAA
This 1684-nucleotide long non-coding RNA is filed under the name Gossypium barbadense (sea-island cotton). RNAcentral describes it as "long non-coding RNA (GBAR_LNC004670)". The record is from RNAcentral. Lineage: Eukaryota; Viridiplantae; Streptophyta; Magnoliopsida; Malvales; Malvaceae.